RNAcentral lists this ribosomal RNA (541 nucleotides) under Paenibacillus sp. 901(2010). RNAcentral's name for it is "bacterial SSU rRNA". It matches the Rfam family "Bacterial small subunit ribosomal RNA", at positions 124 to 652 of the family's 1533-position model. Lineage: Bacteria; Bacillati; Bacillota; Bacilli; Caryophanales; Paenibacillaceae. The record is from RNAcentral.
ACCUGCCCUCAAGACUGGGAUAACUACCGGAAACGGUAGCUAAUACCGGAUAAUUUAUUUCGCAGCAUUGUGGAAUAAUGAAAGACGGAGCAAUCUGUCACUUGGGGAUGGGCCUGCGGCGCAUUAGCUAGUUGGUGGGGUAAUGGCUCACCAAGGCGACGAUGCGUAGCCGACCUGAGAGGGUGAACGGCCACACUGGGACUGAGACACGGCCCAGACUCCUACGGGAGGCAGCAGUAGGGAAUCUUCCGCAAUGGGCGAAAGCCUGACGGAGCAACGCCGCGUGAGUGAUGAAGGUUUUCGGAUCGUAAAGCUCUGUUGCCAAGGAAGAACGUCUUCUAGAGUAACUGCUAGGAGAGUGACGGUACUAGAGAAGAAAGCCCCGGCUAACUACGUGCCAGCAGCCGCGGUAAUACGUAGGGGGCAAGCGUUGUCCGGAAUUAUUGGGCGUAAAGCGCGCGCAGGCGGUUCUUUAAGUCUGGUGUUUAAACCCGAGGCUCAGCUACGGGUCGCACUGGAAACUGGGGGACUUGAGUGCAGA